CCUACGGGAGGCAGCAGUGGGGGAUAUUGCACAAUGGGGGAAACCCUGAUGCAGCGACGCCGCGUGUGGGAAGACGGUCCUCUGGAUUGUAAACCACUGUCCCCAGGGACGAAGAUGACGGGACCGGGGGAGGAAGCGCCGGCUUACUACGUGCGAGCAGCCGCGGUAAUACGUAGGGAGCGAGCGUUGUCCGGAAUUACUGGGUGUAAAGGGAGCGUAGGCGGGACUGCAAGUGGGCUGUCACAUCUACCGGCUCAACCGGUAGCCGCACUCAAAACUGCCGUUCUUGAGUGCAGUAGAGGCAGGCGGAAUUCCUAGUGUAGCGGUGAAAUGCGUAGAUAUUAGG
RNAcentral lists this ribosomal RNA (346 nucleotides) under uncultured bacterium. RNAcentral describes it as "partial 16S ribosomal RNA". It matches the Rfam family "Bacterial small subunit ribosomal RNA", at positions 338 to 701 of the family's 1533-position model. The record is from RNAcentral.